GACGAACGCUGGCGGCGUGCUUAACACAUGCAAGUCGAACGGAAAGGCCCUGCUUGCAGGGUACUCGAGUGGCGAACGGGUGAGUAACACGUGGGUGAUCUGCCCUGCACUUCGGGAUAAGCCUGGGAAACUGGGUCUAAUACCGGAUAUGACCUUCCAUGUAGUGUGGGGGGUGGAAAGAUUUAUCGGUGUGGGAUGAGCCCGCGGCCUAUCAGCUUGUUGGUGGGGUAAUGGCCUACCAAGGCGUCGACGGGUAGCCGGCCUGAGAGGGUGGACGGCCACAUUGGGACUGAGAUACGGCCCAGACUCCUACGGGAGGCAGCAGUGGGGAAUAUUGCACAAUGGGCGGAAGCCUUAUGCAGCGACGCCGCGUGGGGGAUGGCGGCCUUCGGGUUGUAAACCUCUUUCGACAGGGACGAAGCUUCGGUGACGGUACCUGUAUAAGAAGCACCGGCUAACUACGU
This 464-nucleotide ribosomal RNA is filed under the name uncultured bacterium. RNAcentral describes it as "partial 16S ribosomal RNA". It matches the Rfam family "Bacterial small subunit ribosomal RNA", at positions 28 to 506 of the family's 1533-position model. The record is from RNAcentral.